RNAcentral lists this ribosomal RNA (510 nucleotides) under uncultured bacterium. Its description in RNAcentral is "bacterial SSU rRNA". It matches the Rfam family "Bacterial small subunit ribosomal RNA", at positions 28 to 529 of the family's 1533-position model. The record is from RNAcentral.
GACGAACGCUGGCGGCGUGGAUUAGGCAUGCAAGUCGAACGGUAUCAUCCUUUCGGGGGUGAGAGAGUGGCGAACUGGUGAGUAACACGUAGGUUAUCUACCCUCAAGACGGGGACAACCCAGGGGAAACUUGGGCUAAUACCGGAUGUGAGCAACUUUUAGUUGUUUGAAAGGUGGCGUAAGCUGUCGCUUGGGGAUGAGCCUGCGUCCUAUUAGUUAGUUGGUGAGGUAACGGCUCACCUAGGCAAUGAUAGGUAGGCGGCCUUAACGGGUGUCGCCCACACUGGGAUUGAGAUACGGCCCAGACUCCUACGGGAGGCAGCAGUCGAGAAUAGUCUACAAUGGUCGGAAGACUGAUAGUGCGACGCCGCGUGAACGAUGAAUCCCUUCGGGGUGUAAAGUUCUUUUAUAUGUGAGCAGUGCUUCUUAUAUUAACAGUAUGGGGAGAGAGAUAUUAGCAUAUGAAUAAGCAACGGCUAACUCCGUGCCAGCAGCCGCGGUAAACUCGUA